UGCCUAAGGUCACCUAGCUAGUUGCCAGGGAACAGAGGCCUGUCACUGGGUCCCAAGCCCAGGCUCUCUCCACGCAACGCCAAUGCCCCUCCCUCCCAUCCCCAACAUAGGAAGCAAUGUUGGGAUACAUACAUGUUAACAUCCUGAGGAUCAUACAGCUCAAAAAUGUCACCACUUACCAUUUCUGAAGGAGGUUUUUUUUUGGGGGGUGGGGUGAUGUGUUGUUGGUAGAAAGGGAACUAUAUAGCAACAGGGACGUGGAGAGAGCUGUGGAGCUCCGAGCCUGUCUGAACUGUUCAGGAAGGACUUGCACUGACAGAAUGGGAGAACUCAAACCAGCUGAUGAGCAGCUCAGACCAGAUCUAAGUGUUGGGAUCCUGGUGCCACCCCCAUCUUGACAGCUCAGAGCUACAAAGAGAGUAAGAGAAGUACAGCGGAUGUAUGUGUGUAAAGUUUCUAUGUGAAUCUGCUGGAUUUCAAAGUAAGUUGUGGAUAUUAUGACACUUCAACCCUAAAGAUUUCUGCAUGCAUCUCCUACAAAUAUGGACAUUCUCCUGUAUGACCACAAUGCCGUUAUUAUGCCUAAGAACCAAAGCCAGUUGAUUACAUCUCCCCAGUAUGUCUCCAAUUUAGCCGCUUUUCUUCAGGCCACAAGUUUCCUGUAUCUUCAAGAGUGCAAUCAUCUCCUAACGGUUCCUCCUUCAAUCCACGCUCCACGCUGCUGCAAAGAGAACUUUCGACAGUGGAGAUCUGAUUAUGUCACUUCCCUACUUCAGACUUUCCAAUGGUUUUGCAUUACCUUCAAAAUAAAGAAUAAAC
This 819-nucleotide long non-coding RNA is filed under the name Equus caballus (horse). RNAcentral's name for it is "lncRNA (ENSECAG00000057768.1)". The record is from RNAcentral. Lineage: Eukaryota; Metazoa; Chordata; Mammalia; Perissodactyla; Equidae.